UGAAUAUGUCAUGAGUAUGCAGUCAAGUUGACCAAUUACACAUACUAGAAAGCUGGACGAGAGCAAUUAUCACGAGAAAGAGAAAGAUACAGGGGCUGAUAUUCAGAAUUUAAUAGUGAGGACUCAAUAACCUCUUGUUGCAGAGCUAAAAACUUAUAUUCCAUGUGUAUGAACGCAUCACACGGGAAGAAAACAUCCAACUAAAACCACCUAAUUUUUGCUACUUUUGCUAUCGCUAAACAGCACGAAGAAAGGAAUCAAA
This 262-nucleotide unclassified non-coding RNA is filed under the name Hevea brasiliensis (rubber tree). The record is from RNAcentral. Lineage: Eukaryota; Viridiplantae; Streptophyta; Magnoliopsida; Malpighiales; Euphorbiaceae.